Molecule: RNA transcript, 2365 nt
Organism: Rosa chinensis
Lineage: Eukaryota; Viridiplantae; Streptophyta; Magnoliopsida; Rosales; Rosaceae
Gene name: F-box/FBD/LRR-repeat protein At1g13570
Exons: 3
Source: RefSeq, a predicted model, not a curated record
CCCUAACUGGCAUGCGACGAUCAGCUUCUUGAUCUUUUCCGCUUGAAGUGAUUAUCUCCAUAUUUCUGUACCAAAUUUCUGAGUUAAAAUCAGCUUCUUCUUUGGUUUUGAUCGAUCUCGUGCAAUUUACACUAUUUUCAUGGCUAUAUAUUGGAUCGACAAACUAAUAAAGCAUGAAUGCAUGUGUGAAAUUGUCUGUGUGUUGUUCGUUUCAAGUUUCAAGUCCUUGAUUCGCUUUACAUUUCCCUCAUUCCGUUUGCUGAAUUGAUUCGGUUGAAAUUUCUGAAGUUGUAGCACUUUUUGGUUUUUCAAGUUCUAGUUAGUAACUCUGUUUGUUGCUGUCGAUGAAAAUUAGGGAUUCUUUUUUAUUUUCGGUACUUAUUACAUUGAAGAGUUGGAAUUAGGUGCUUAAAUCAGUUGUUGUAUAUAUGUCAAAAAUUCCAGCUACACGAGAUCCUGGUCUGCAUGCAAGACUCUUAGAAAGAGUUCCAUCCAAGUGAAACAAAAACAGAAUCAAAAUUACUAGGGACUAGACUCUUGGAAAGACUUUGCAUUUUAGUUGUGAACAAAGAACGGAUGGCUCCUUCUUUUCUAUAUGACUAUAUUCAAUUUGGCUGUUUGUUUUGGAAGUAGAGUCAUGAUCUUUUUUGCUUACACACCCGCACAAGGGCAUGGUCUGAAUUAUUUGGACACCACUGGCCAGCAUAUUCGAUCAAUGAUUUCCUUUUAUUUUAUUUUUUUAAAUGAACUGAAAAUUCCAGGAGCAAGGGAAGGCACUUCAAAAAUGGAGGUGGAGUUGGACUCAAUUAGCAACUUACCAAGAGAGAUUGCUGAAAAGAUUUUGGCACGUUUGCCGAUUAAGGAGGCAGUGAGGACAAGUAUUUUAUCGACCAAGUGGAGGUAUAAACCAGCCAUGCUUCAAAAUCUAAAGUUUGAUAAGCAAUGUGUAUCGACUCAGAACCAUAUCACCUUUGCUAAUAUUGUUGAUCAAGUACUCUUACUUCACAUUGGCCCCAUACACAAGUUUGAGCUUACUCAUCGGGAUUUUUUAGCCAGUGCUGAUAUUGAUAGAUGGGUUCUUCAUCUAUCAAGAAGCUGUGUCAAAUGUUUGAAACUUGUAAUCUGGAAGGGGCAUCGCAUCGCUACAAGUUGCCCUCUUGUUUCUUUUCUUGUCAAGACAUAAUUCAUUUGCGGUUACAUAAUUGUAUUCUAAAGCCUCCAUCAACUUUCAGAGGCUUCAUGAGUUUGGAGCAUCUUGACAUUAGGCAUGUUACGUUGGCCCAACAUGUCUUUGAAGAUUUUAUUGUUUGUUGUCCUGUGCCUAAGAGACUGAUUUUGAAAUACUGUGAUGGUUUCACAAAUCUCUGCAUUGAUGCACCAAAUCUCAAAUUGCCUGAUAUAGAUGGUGUAGUUUUGAGGAUGUUUGUCUUCAGAAUACCUUACAUCUUGAACAUGUUGACAUCCGUUUGGAAUUCAAAGUCAGAUGGAUUGUUGGCGGUUCAUCCAAUUUGGUCAAGUUUUUCGUUCACCUGCCUAAUAUUCGUGACCUUCAAAUUUCAGGUUACGUUUUAAAGUAUUUGGCUGUUGGUCCCCUGCUACGAAAGCUGCCUCAACCAGUACUGUUUCUGAAUGAUCUUUAUAUGGACGUAAACUUCACUGAUCUGGAGGAGAUUACAACUGCUCUAUGCCUUGUAAGGAGCUCCCCUGCUCUACGAAAACUAGAGAUUGUGGUCAACCAUAUUGAUUAUCAUCAUGUGGUGGGAGAAGUGAACUCCUGGUUUGAAAAUUUAGGCGAAAACUCAGAUUGUCAACUCACUGAACUUCAAUGUAUAGAAAUUGUUGCCAUCUCUGAUGCCAAAGCUGAACUAGAUUUUAUCAAAUUGCUGCUGUUAAGUUCACCUGUACUGGAGUGCAUGACUCUUAAGCCUUUUUCUGUGGAUGGCUCUUUGGAACCGUUAAAACAGUUGAUCCGAUUUAGGUGUGCCUCGGUUCAGGCUGAGAUAAUCCUCUUGGACCCUUGAUAGAUCUACUCAAACUUGAAAUGCAUAGCAUACCAUUUUACUGCUCAAGAACUAGAAUGAGGAAUGGCACAGAUGGGGCAUGGCUAUUGAUGCCAGAAUGCAGACUUUAUAUGAAGGAAGAGGAACAAACCUAUUGAUGAUUUCUAUUUUUCCAAAUGGUAGUCUUACCGCAUUAUCUAGUCUACAAUUGAUGCUGCAAAGGUUUCUUUCCAACCAUUAGUGGGAAAUAUUGUACAGUUUUUUUUUUUUCUUCAUAAAACCGGGUGUUUUGGUAUGUAAUAUAUAAUUUGGAGAACAUGAUUGCUGGUCGGAUGUCUAAUGUAUUUUUCCGCAAUCUAAAUUUA